AUUGAACGCUGGCGGCAUGCUUUACACAUGCAAGUCGAACGGUAACAGGUUAAGCUGACGAGUGGCGAACGGGUGAGUAAUGCAUCGGAACGUGCCCGGUCGUGGGGGAUAACGCAGCGAAAGCUGCGCUAAUACCGUAUACGAUACGAGGAGAAAAGCGGGGGACCGUAAGGCCUCGCGCGAUCGGAGCGGCCGAUGUCAGAUUAGGUAGUUGGUGGGGUAAAGGCUCACCAAGCCAACGAUCUGUAGCUGGUCUGAGAGGACGACCAGCCACACUGGGACUGAGACACGGCCCAGACUCCUACGGGAGGCAGCAGUGGGGAAUUUUGGACAAUGGGCGAAAGCCUGAUCCAGCAAUGCCGCGUGCAGGAAGAAGGCCUUCGGGUUGUAAACUGCUUUUGUACGGAGCGAAAAGGUCUCCUCUAAUACAGGGGGCUCAUGACGGUACCGUAAGAAUAAGCACCGGCUAACUACGUGCCAGCCGCCGCGGUAA
This 493-nucleotide ribosomal RNA is filed under the name uncultured bacterium. Its description in RNAcentral is "partial 16S ribosomal RNA". It matches the Rfam family "Bacterial small subunit ribosomal RNA", at positions 29 to 523 of the family's 1533-position model. The record is from RNAcentral.